RNAcentral lists this long non-coding RNA (523 nucleotides) under Setaria viridis. RNAcentral describes it as "long non-coding RNA (SVIR_LNC009585)". Lineage: Eukaryota; Viridiplantae; Streptophyta; Magnoliopsida; Poales; Poaceae. The record is from RNAcentral.
UUGGUGGAGGUGGUGUCUCGGGUUUUAUGGGCGGAGGGAGGGAAGGGACAAAGUAUUUGGCCAAUUGGGUGGAUGGCCCUAUCACAUUACCAAUAUAACCUUCCACUAUGGUGGUGGAUGAAAUAGGGUGUUGUUGGGAGGGGGGGAGGAAAAUUCACAUUUCACAUCUAUCACAUGGCUUGGCCCGGGCGUCUGAAUAUUCGAAUAGUGCACCGAAAAGAUUUUGGGGUUGGUCCACUCCAGGUAAUGGCGACCAAAGGAUGUUCCGCUUAGUAGAAAAUGCCGGACAAAAAUUCAAAUAGUGGAAUGUCUAGUAGUCUAUUCAUGGACGUUUCUUAUUCUUGGUACAAUUAGUGUAACCUGUACAAAAACUUUAUUGGUAGAAUCAAGAGAAUCUGGACCCAGAUUCAACAAAUUAUCAUUCAAAAUCUUUGUUAUAUCAUGAGAACACCUUGAAAAACCCAGAUAUUCCAUUAUUUGGUACCACUCCCUCUGUUUAUGUAGUGCUCCGCUUAUGUUGAAG